This 241-nucleotide long non-coding RNA is filed under the name Homo sapiens (human). RNAcentral's name for it is "HSALNT0229704". Lineage: Eukaryota; Metazoa; Chordata; Mammalia; Primates; Hominidae. The record is from RNAcentral.
CAACCUUCCAACUUCUAAACGCCCUCUUCUUUCUCUGACCCCCAUAUUCUGAUUUCCAUAUAGCAUCCACCAUCCUGGAAUUCCAGUGAGACCUAGCUCCCGACUUCUCAGCUCCUCCUUGGUUUCUGAGUCCUCUAAGGUCCCUCACUCCCAACUCAGCCCCAUGUCCUGUCAAUUCCCACUCAGUGUCUGAUCUCCUUCUCCUCACCUUUCCCAUCUCCCGUUUGACCCAAGCUUCCUG